GAGUGGCGGACGGGUGAGUAAUGUCUGGGAAACUGCCUGAUGGAGGGGGAUAACUACUGGAAACGGUAGCUAAUACCGCAUAACGUCGCAAGACCAAAGAGGGGGACCUUCGGGCCUCUUGCCAUCAGAUGUGCCCAGAUGGGAUUAGCUAGUAGGUGGGGUAAUGGCUCACCUAGGCGACGAUCCCUAGCUGGUCUGAGAGGAUGACCAGCCACACUGGAACUGAGACACGGUCCAGACUCCUACGGGAGGCAGCAGUGGGGAAUAUUGCACAAUGGGCGCAAGCCUGAUGCAGCCAUGCCGCGUGUAUGAAGAAGGCCUUCGGGUUGUAAAGUACUUUCAGCGGGGAGGAAGGUGUUGUGGUUAAUAACCACAGCAAUUGACGUUACCCGCAGAAGAAGCACCGGCUAACUCCGUGCCAGCAGCCGCGGUAAUACGGAGGGUGCAAGCGUUAAUCGGAAUUACUGGGCGUAAAGCGCACGCAGGCGGUCUGUCAAGUCGGAUGUGAAAUCCCCGGGCUCAACCUGGGAACUGCAUUCGAAACUGG
This 547-nucleotide ribosomal RNA is filed under the name uncultured Gammaproteobacteria bacterium. RNAcentral's name for it is "bacterial SSU rRNA". It matches the Rfam family "Bacterial small subunit ribosomal RNA", at positions 93 to 636 of the family's 1533-position model. Lineage: Bacteria; Pseudomonadati; Pseudomonadota; Gammaproteobacteria. The record is from RNAcentral.